Molecule: ribosomal RNA, 429 nt
Filed under: uncultured anaerobic ammonium-oxidizing bacterium
Lineage: Bacteria
Description: bacterial SSU rRNA
Rfam family: Bacterial small subunit ribosomal RNA
Source: RNAcentral
GUGAACGAGCGACGCCGCGUGCAGGAUGAAGGCCUUCGGGUUGUAAACUCCUGUCGAGGGGAAGCAAGGGCGCGUGCAGAGCGCGUCUUGAGCGACCCCUGGAGGAAGCACGGGCUAAGUUCGUGCCAGCAGCCGCGGUAAGACGAACCGUGCGAACGUUAUUCGGAAUCACUGGGCUUAAAGCGCGUGCAGGCGGCUCGAUGCGUCCGUCGCUGAAAGCCCCCGGCUCAACCGGGGAAGCGGCGCGGAAACGAUCGAGCUCGAGGGGGGUAGGGGGGGCCGGAACUUCCGGUGGAGCGGUGAAAUGCGUUGAGAUCGGAAGGAACGCCCGUGGCGAAAGCGGGCCCCUGGACCCCGCCUGACGCUCAGACGCGAAAGCCAGGGUAGCGAACGGGAUUAGAUACCCCGGUAGUCCUGGCCGUAAACGAU